CGGACUGAAUCCAAAUUAAUAUGUAUACCCUUUGAAACUUUACCAGACUGAAAUUCAGAUUAAUAUGUAUGCCCUUCAGGGAUUUAUCGGACUGAAAUCUGGAUUAAUAUGUAUGUCCUUCGGAGCUUUACCAUAUUAAAAUUUAGAUUAAUUUGUAUGCCCUUUGGGGCUUUACCAGACUAAAAUUUGAAUUAAGAUGUAUACCCUUUGGGGCUUUACCGGACUGAGAUCU
This 232-nucleotide long non-coding RNA is filed under the name Elaeis guineensis (African oil palm). RNAcentral's name for it is "long non-coding RNA (EGUI_LNC065317)". Lineage: Eukaryota; Viridiplantae; Streptophyta; Magnoliopsida; Arecales; Arecaceae. The record is from RNAcentral.